UACGUAGGGUGCAAGCGUUAAUCGGAAUUACUGGGCGUAAAGCGUGCGCAGGCGGCUAUGCAAGACAGAUGUGAAAUCCCCGGGCUCAACCUGGGAACUGCAUUUGUGACUGCAUGGCUAGAGUACGGUAGAGGGGGAUGGAAUUCCGGCGUGUAGCAGUGAAAUGCGUAGAUAUGCGGAGGAACACCGAUGGCGAAGGCAAUCCCCUGGACCUGUACUGACGCUCAUGCACGAAAGCGUGGGGAGCAAACAGG
This 254-nucleotide ribosomal RNA is filed under the name uncultured bacterium. Its description in RNAcentral is "partial 16S ribosomal RNA". It matches the Rfam family "Bacterial small subunit ribosomal RNA", at positions 524 to 776 of the family's 1533-position model. The record is from RNAcentral.